Molecule: small nucleolar RNA, 68 nt
Filed under: Ferroplasma acidiphilum
Lineage: Archaea; Methanobacteriati; Thermoplasmatota; Thermoplasmata; Thermoplasmatales; Ferroplasmaceae
Description: C/D box methylation guide snoRNA
Source: RNAcentral
UAUACCGCUAUGAUGAUAUUUACAAAUAAAUGAUUUGAUGAUUAAUGACGGGCAAGCUGAGCGGUAUA